This 465-nucleotide ribosomal RNA is filed under the name Vreelandella stevensii. RNAcentral describes it as "partial 16S ribosomal RNA". It matches the Rfam family "Bacterial small subunit ribosomal RNA", at positions 338 to 795 of the family's 1533-position model. The record is from RNAcentral. Lineage: Bacteria; Pseudomonadati; Pseudomonadota; Gammaproteobacteria; Oceanospirillales; Halomonadaceae.
CCUACGGGGGGCUGUAGUGGGGAAUAUUGGACAAUGGGGGGAACCCUGAUCCAGCCAUGCCGCGUGUGUGAAGAAGGCCCUCGGGUUGUAAAGCACUUUCAGUGAGGAAGAACGCCUGGUGGUUAAUACCCAUCAGGAAAGACAUCACUCACAGAAGAAGCACCGGCUAACUCCGUGCCAGCAGCCGCGGUAAUACGGAGGGUGCGAGCGUUAAUCGGAAUUACUGGGCGUAAAGCGCGCGUAGGUGGCUUGAUAAGCCGGUUGUGAAAGCCCCGGGCUCAACCUGGGAACGGCAUCCGGAACUGUCAAGCUAGAGUGCAGGAGAGGAAGGUAGAAUUCCCGGUGUAGCGGUGAAAUGCGUAGAGAGCGGGAGGAAUACCAGUGGCGAAGGCGGCCUUCUGGACUGACACUGACACUGAGGUGCGAAAGCGUGGGUAGCAAACAGGAUUAGAUACCCUAGUAGUC